This 492-nucleotide ribosomal RNA is filed under the name uncultured bacterium. Its description in RNAcentral is "partial 16S ribosomal RNA". It matches the Rfam family "Bacterial small subunit ribosomal RNA", at positions 29 to 507 of the family's 1533-position model. The record is from RNAcentral.
AGUGAACGCUGGCGGUAGGCCUAACACAUGCAAGUCGAACGGACGCACAAUAAGAGUUUGCUCCUAAGGGUGGCGAGUGGCGGAUGGGUGAGGCAUAGAUAAGCAUCCACUUUUUCGGGGGGGAUUACGUAGGGACACAUAUGAUAAUACCGCAUAUGACCUACGGGUGAAAGCAGUAGAUAUUCGGAGUUUUCCCGAUUGAUUGAGCCGAUGUCGGAUUAGCUAGUUGGCGGGGUAAAGGCACACCAAGGCGACGAUACGUAGCUGGUCUGAGAGGAUGAUCAGCCACACUGGAACUGAGACACGGUCCAGACUCCUACGGGAGGCAGCAGUGGGGAAUAUUGGACAAUGGGCGCAAGCCUGAUCGAGCCAUGCCGCGUGGGUGAAGAAGGCCUUCGGAUUGUAAAGCCCUUUUGUUGGGAAAGAAAAGCAGCAGAUUAAUACCCCGCUGUUCUGACGGUACCCAAAGAAUAAGCACCGGCUAACUUCGUG